GAUGAAGAACGUAGCGAAAUGCGAUAACUAAUGUGAAUUGCAGAAUUCAGUGAAUCAUCGAGUCUUUGAACGCACAUUGCGCCCCCUGGUAUUCCGGGGGGCAUGCCUGUCCGAGCGUCAUUGCUGCCCUCAAGCACGGCUUGUGUGUUGGGCUCCGUCCCCCCGGGGACGGGUCCGAAAGGCAGCGGCGGCACCGAGUCCGGUCCUCGAGCGUAUGGGGCUUUGUCACCCGCUCUGUACGCCCGGCCGGCGCCAGCCGACAACCAAUCAUCCUUUUUUCAGGUUGACCUCGGAUCAGGUAGGGAUACCCGCUGAACUUAAGCAUAUCAAUAAGCGGAGGA
RNAcentral lists this unclassified non-coding RNA (341 nucleotides) under soil metagenome. RNAcentral's name for it is "partial contains 5.8S ribosomal RNA, internal transcribed spacer 2, and large subunit ribosomal RNA". The stretch from base 1 to 120 matches the Rfam family "5.8S ribosomal RNA", at positions 35 to 154 of the family's 154-position model. The record is from RNAcentral.